CCUACGGGUGGCAGCAGUGGGGAAUAUUGCACAAUGGGGGAAACCCUGAUGCAGCGACGCCGCGUGAGUGAAGAAGUAUUUCGGGAUGUAAAGUCCUUUCAGUAGGGACGAUACUAGACGGUUCUUGACUAAGAAGACCCGGCUAAAUACGUGCCAGCAGCCGCGUGAAAACGUAGGGGGCAAGCUUUAUCCGGAAUCAUUGGCUGGAAAGGGGGCGUAGCCGGCUGUGCAAGCCUGAAGUGAAAGGCGUGGGUCCAACCCCUGGACUGCUUUGGAAACUGUACGGCUAGAGUAUAGGAGAGGUAGGUGGAAUUCCUGGUGUAGCGGUGAAAUGCGUAGAGAUUAAGAGGAACACCAGUGGCGAAGGCGGCCUGCUGGACUAUAACUGACGUUGAGGCGCGAAAGCGUGGGGAGCAAACAGGAUUAGAUACCCGAGUAGUC
This 441-nucleotide ribosomal RNA is filed under the name uncultured bacterium. Its description in RNAcentral is "partial 16S ribosomal RNA". It matches the Rfam family "Bacterial small subunit ribosomal RNA", at positions 338 to 795 of the family's 1533-position model. The record is from RNAcentral.